CCUACGGGAGGCAGCCGUGAGGAAUCUUGGUCAAUGGGCGCAAGCCUGAACCAGCCACGUAGCGUGAAGGAUGACUGCCCUACGGGUUGUAAACUUCUUUUAUAGAGGAGUAACAUGAGGCACGUGUGCCUUUUUGUCUGUACUUUAUGUAUUAGGAUCGGCUAACUCCGUGCCAGCCGCCGCGGUAAUACGGAGGAUCCGAGCGUUAUCCGGAUUGAUUGGGUUUAAAGUGAGCGUAGAUGGGUUGUUAAGUCAGUUGUGAAAGUUUGCGGCUCAACCGUACAAUUGCAAUUGAUACUGGAAGUCGUGAGUACAGUUGAGGUAGGAGGAAUUCGUGGUGUAGCGGUGAAAUGCUUAGAUAUAACGAAGAACUCCGAUUGCGAAGGCAGCUUACUAAACUGCCACUGACAUUGAUGCGCGAAAGCGUGGGUAUCAAACAGGAUUAGAUACCCGGGUAGUC
Molecule: ribosomal RNA, 460 nt
Filed under: uncultured bacterium
Lineage: Bacteria
Description: partial 16S ribosomal RNA
Rfam family: Bacterial small subunit ribosomal RNA
Source: RNAcentral